Molecule: ribosomal RNA, 222 nt
Filed under: Francisella tularensis subsp. holarctica
Lineage: Bacteria; Pseudomonadati; Pseudomonadota; Gammaproteobacteria; Thiotrichales; Francisellaceae
Description: partial 16S ribosomal RNA
Rfam family: Bacterial small subunit ribosomal RNA
Source: RNAcentral
CAACUCGACUGCAUGAAGUCGGCAUCGCUAGUAAUCGCAGGUCAGAAUACUGCGGUGAAUACGUGCCCGGGUCUUGUACACACCGCCCGUCACACCAUGGGAGUGGGUUGCUCCAGAAGUAGAUAGCUUAACGAAUGGGCGAUUACCACGGAGUGAUUCAUGACUGGGGUGAAGUCGUAACAAGGUAGCCGUAGGGGACCCUGCGGCUGGAUCCCCUCCUUA